Molecule: long non-coding RNA, 449 nt
Organism: Homo sapiens (human)
Lineage: Eukaryota; Metazoa; Chordata; Mammalia; Primates; Hominidae
Exons: 3
Source: RefSeq, a predicted model, not a curated record
GUCAACUAGUCUGUUGAAUGGACUUUGUCAAGGUGUUAAGACAGGCUCAUCCUAGAAAUAGAGGAAGAAUAGUAUUAGGUGCAGAAGGUUGCAAGGUUCUAUCUAUUUUUUUGAAGACAAGAAACUGGAGACCUAAGUGUGUGACAUGUUUUAAUUCACAACACUGCACUUCUGGUCCAGAAAUACAAUGAAGACAUGCUGAAUGUUGACAGAAGGACCACAAGAUAUGCUGAUGGAUCAGAUGUGUAAUGUGAGUUACCCCAAGGAACUAUGUUCAUGAUAGUUUAAUUCUCUAAGAUAGAAAAUUCUGAACGAGAAACAAGGAAACAACAUUUUGUUGGGGGCUAAUACAGAGUUUUCUUUUGAACAUGGUAACAGGAUGACAAAAAAGGGAUUAACAUCUUUAUGUGGUUUUGAUGUAUUGGAAAUUGAAAAAUACAAAACACAUU